AUCCCAUGAUGAGGACACUGCCUUUGUAAACGUUUAAACCUUCUCCAAGAUUCAUACAAUGACUCAUCAUCGGUUUGACGAAAGGUGGUUAGCUCAUUUCUUAGCCU
Spinacia oleracea (spinach) is the source of this 107-nucleotide non-coding RNA. Lineage: Eukaryota; Viridiplantae; Streptophyta; Magnoliopsida; Caryophyllales; Amaranthaceae. The record is from Rfam.